GGUGAGAUGGCCGAGUGGUUAUGGCGGUGGUCUCAAGUGCCACUGGAGCAAUCCUCAGGGGUUCGAAUCCCCUUCUCAUCA
Xylariales sp. No.14919 is the source of this 81-nucleotide non-coding RNA. The record is from the annotation of a GenBank genome assembly. Lineage: Eukaryota; Fungi; Ascomycota; Sordariomycetes; Xylariales.